UACUGGAAACGGUAGCUAAUACCGCAUAACGUCGCAAGACCAAAGUGGGGGACCUUCGGGCCUCACACCAUCGGAUGAACCCAGAUGGGAUUAGCUAGUAGGUGGGGUAAUGGCUCACCUAGGCGACGAUCCCUAGCUGGUCUGAGAGGAUGACCAGCCACACUGGAACUGAGACACGGUCCAGACUCCUACGGGAGGCAGCAGUGGGGAAUAUUGCACAAUGGGGGAAACCCUGAUGCAGCCAUGCCGCGUGUGUGAAGAAGGCCUUCGGGUUGUAAAGCACUUUCAGCGGGGAGGAAGGCGGUGGCGUUAAUAGCGCUAUCGAUUGACGUUACCCGCAGAAGAAGCACCGGCUAACUCCGUGCCAGCAGCCGCGGUAAUACGGAGGGUGCGAGCGUUAAUCGGAAUUACUGGGCGUAAAGCGUACGCAGGCGGUCUGUUAAGUCAGAUGUGAAAUCCCCGGGCUUAACCUGGGAACUGCAUUUGAAACUGGCAGGCUAGAGUCUCGUAGAGGGGGGUAGAAUUCCAGGUGUAGCGGUGAAAUGCGUAGAGAUCUGGAGGAAUACCGGUGGCGAAGGCGGCCCCCUGGACGAAGACUGACGCUCAGGUACGAAAGCGUGGGGAGCAAACAGGAUUAGAUACCCUGGUAGUCCACGCUGUAAACGAUGUCGAUUUGAAGGUUGUGGCCUUGAGCCGUGGCUUUCGGAGCUAACGCGUUAAAUCGACCGCCUGGGGAGUACGGCCGCAAGGUUAAAACUCAAAUGAAUUGACGGGGGCCCGCACAAGCGGUGGAGCAUGUGGUUUAAUUCGAUGCAACGCGAAGAACCUUACCUACUCUUGACAUCCAGAGAACAUGGCAGAGAUGCCUUGGUGCCUUCGGGAACUCUGAGACAGGUGCUGCAUGGCUGUCGUCAGCUCGUGUUGUGAAAUGUUGGGUUAAGUCCCGCAACGAGCGCAACCCUUAUCCUUUGUUGCCAGCGAUUCGGUCGGGAACUCAAAGGAGACUGCCGGUGAUAAACCGGAGGAAGGUGGGGAUGACGUCAAGUCAUCAUGGCCCUUACGAGUAGGGCUACACACGUGCUACAAUGGCGCAUACAAAGAGAAGCGAUCUCGCGAGAGUCAGCGGACCUCAUAAAGUGCGUCGUAGUCCGGAUUGGAGUCUGCAACUCGACUCCAUGAAGUCGGAAUCGCUAGUAAUCGUGGAUCAGAAU
Molecule: ribosomal RNA, 1211 nt
Filed under: uncultured bacterium
Lineage: Bacteria
Description: bacterial SSU rRNA
Rfam family: Bacterial small subunit ribosomal RNA
Source: RNAcentral